AAAGAUAUUACAAUGGAAAGAGUAACUAGUCAAUUGGUUGUUCUAGCUUGAGAAAGGAAAGACAAACCACAUAUAAACGCUUAAAAAGCAUAGAUAACGACACCAUUUUUUAAAAAGGAAACAUUGAAUGUAAGUAUCCAUAAAUAUUUCGGAUGACAGAUUUUCUUCUUCAGUAUGAUAUUGAUGUAAAAUGGAUCAUAUCAAUUUUUAGUUUAUCAUCGUGCCGGAACAUUUGUUUUUGGACUUUAUCAGAUUUGCAAUUCAAACUUUUCAAUAAUAUAAUAACCUUUAUUUGCCAAAUAAAACAAAAUAAAUAAAGAACUGUCCAUUAGACAUAUUACAUCUGACAAAAUGUCAGUCGGCAGUGAAAGAGGGUCCUCAGAAAUACGGUCAAUCUGGUUACUGGCGUAGUAGUAUUA
RNAcentral lists this long non-coding RNA (419 nucleotides) under Mytilus galloprovincialis (Mediterranean mussel). Lineage: Eukaryota; Metazoa; Mollusca; Bivalvia; Mytilida; Mytilidae. The record is from RNAcentral.